UGAUAACUAAAGAUACAUUCUCUAUUCUUCAUUUGUAAUGCACAUAUAUUAAAGGUCCAUACAGAUGCAGGUAAUAAAAUUCGUCGCUAACACCUGGGCAACAGUGUGCUAAAUAACAGUGAAUAACUUUACAGGUGGUAGGCCAAUACAGAUUAUAAAAGUUCUAUUUCAUGGGAGCAAUUCCAACUUUAGCUUGAUAUAGCUGUGUAGCUGUAUUCAUCCUCACGCGGGCCUUGAGAUAGAGCUGACAACACAACAAAGGUUCCGAACAAAAUGGUGGCUAUUGCUGUAAAGUUGACAAGGAAUGCCUCUGAACCGUACUUCUCAAGCCCGGAGCUCUGAAGGAACGUAAGCUUUUCAAGAAAUCCUAGACAGGCAGUGCCAACAGCUAGGAUGUACACAAAUAAGCCAAAUAGAAUGUGCCAUGGGAGCGACUCCUUUCUGAUCAAAGGAGUACCGCCAGGAUAGAAGAAUACCACAAAACCAUAAAUCCACUGCAAAUCAUCCAAAAUUAUCAGAUAAUGAUUAUAAGAGUUGUCCACUGGAUCUAAGUGUGAGAGAUUCUAUUUAUUAGCAGCUAAGCCAUGCCAUCAGGGGAGGAGGAGCCAUGAUUUACAUCUACUGGGCACUUGGUAGAAAAAAAGUAACUUGAAUUUUAAAAAUUAGGAAAAAUAUAGCUUAAGCAAGAUUCAAAGUAGAUCAGUCCUAUACACCCAAAGUUACAUACAAGCUGAGCCAGCAUAACUUAUUAAUAGGAUACAACUAAAUUCCAUAAAUUCAAGAAAAAAUGAACAGAUUCAAACCCAUGUUCCAGAUAUUUCUUACCAACAAAGCUACGACAUAAGAUGUGUGUAGGUUAUAUCAUACUAUUAGGACAAAAAUUCUGAAAUUUCAUCGCAGAUUGUUAUAUCCCUCAGCCUACAAUGCGUCCACGAUUGCAUAUUUUGAUGGGAAAAUGCAAGGUCAGAAAGCUAAGUCAUCAGCCUAGUUUGAGUUUAAAAUAAUAUGAUAAAUUGCAAUCGAGGUGCUCGAUUUCAGGUAGAUAAGUGCCGUAACAAGAAGAAGCAGUUACUUCUAUAUCAGAAGUAUGAAAAUGCUACGAGUAUAUUUCUAACAAACUGAAGGUGAAGAUAGAUUAUAUGAGAAGUACCUGUAUGCCAUAAAGGACAACAACCCCAAUCCCAAUCCAGGAAUGUAAACUGUAUAGAUUGGCAAUAUUACUCUCAUUGUGAAAUUUAAAUGCCAUGUAAACCCCGAAUAUGGCUAGUACCAGCGCAAUUCCAUGCAGAACUAGAUGUACCAGUUUCUUGUCUUUCUUCUUUAAUGGGAGAGAUUUGUAGCUUAUGAUUGCUAUAUUUAAGAAACAACAGGUAAAAAGUUACUCAGAUCAGCUACUAAUACUAUAACUAUCUAUCAAAAAUAUUUCAUAACGCUAAAUUACUCACCUUCACCGCCAAUGAUAAUUAAGCCAAUUAAAAGCAAAACAGGAUGAAGCUGCAAAAAGAAUGUAAAUCAGUUGUGAAUGCCUGAUGAAACCCUAUUGCCUGCUGCGUUAAAAUUAGAAUGCAAUCCAACAGUACACAUUAGACACGCAAGAUUGACUGAUAAUAUACAGGCCACAGGACAUAUGUUUUUGACCCUGUUAAGACAUAGGCAUGAUCUACAUAUUAACCACUCCAACCAAAGCUCCAAUAAAACCAAAGGUCUUGAGUUUGAUAGUGGAGGUUCGAAACCAUGGAGUGCAAGUGCUGUCUCAUUUGGACGGCAAACAUUGAAACCCUGAUGACCGCUGCCUCGUUCAGAAGGCAAAAACGUCUACUUGAUCCAUCAUAAAUACAAACCAUGGUACAUUUACAAACUCAACUUUCAUUUAGACCACACAGGUAAACAUUUCUAACUCAUCAUCAAUGAUUCCUCCAAAUUUCCCAAAAAGUUCAGUUCUCAAGUAUUAAAAUUUAACAAGGAUUGUUGCAACAUAUAUGGUAUACAAAGUUUAGCUAAUCAACAUACUUGCAAUAUUGACAUAAAAACUUGCUAUAUCUCAAUCAAACAACAAGUACACAAAAAAUAAAGUCAAUAUCUAAUCCAUAAACAACCACAACACAAAAGCCUUCUAAAUUCAGACACAUAAACUUAGGCACACGCGAGUUUCAAAAUUUCAAGAGUGCAGAACAAUUGUUGUCACCGUAAAUUAACAAAAUAAUAAGUAAAGAAAGUUGGGGAAGUGAAAGAGAGGGUAAGAAAUUACAUUAAAGAUGAGAUUUUUAUUGGAAGAUUCAAAAACCAAUCCUCCUCUGAAGUGUAUUGACCAGACAAGAACCAUCACCGCUGCGAUUGCGCCCAACACGUGGGUUGCGAAUGUGAAGGGGACUGCGUUGAGUUGGAUUCCCCCCAUUUUAUUUU
Molecule: long non-coding RNA, 2403 nt
Filed under: Daucus carota (carrot)
Lineage: Eukaryota; Viridiplantae; Streptophyta; Magnoliopsida; Apiales; Apiaceae
Description: long non-coding RNA (DCAR_LNC003747)
Source: RNAcentral